Molecule: ribosomal RNA, 459 nt
Filed under: uncultured bacterium
Lineage: Bacteria
Description: partial 16S ribosomal RNA
Rfam family: Bacterial small subunit ribosomal RNA
Source: RNAcentral
CCUACGGGAGGCAGCAGUGAGGAAUAUUGGUCAAUGGACGAGAGCCUGAACCAGCCACGUAGCGUGCAGGAUGACUGCCCUAUGGGUUGUAAACUUCUUUUAUACAGGAAUAAAACGCGGCACGUGUGCCUUUUUGCAUGUACUUAUGCAUAAGGAUCGGCUAACUCCGUGCCCGCAGCCGGGGUUAUACGGAAGAUCCGAGCGUUAUCCGGAUUUAAUGGGUUUAAAGGGAGCGUAGAUGGGUUGUUAGGGCAGUGGUGAAAGGUUGCGGCUCAACCGUAAAAUUGCAAUUGGUACUGGCGGGCUUGAGUACAGUGGAGGCAGGCGGAAUUCGUGGUGUAGCGGUGAAAUGCUUAGAUAUCACGAAGAACCCCGAUUGCGAAGGCAGCUUACUAAACUGGGACUGACAUUGAUGCUCGAAAGUGUGGGUAGCAAACAGGAUUAGAUACCCCAGUAGUC